This is a long non-coding RNA of Sphaerodactylus townsendi, 2064 nucleotides long. RefSeq lists it as uncharacterized. NCBI's taxonomy places the organism in Eukaryota, Metazoa, Chordata, Lepidosauria, Squamata, Sphaerodactylidae. The record is from RefSeq and is a predicted model, not a curated record. The transcript is spliced from 2 exons.
UAGAUAUACCAAUAAGCUAUGCUAUUUAGAAUUAACACUAUUCACUUGCCUGUCACUUUUGCAUAAAUAAAUGUUUUGGCUAGCUCCAUGCCGGGGUGACCCUCAACUGCUCAAGCUGUGCUGAGAAACAGCUGCACUGCACUGCACUGCAGCCCAAAAGCCUCCUAACAGCCAUAAGCUUUAGGAAUCAAAAGGACACAGAGGAUUAUACCGAGGGACAAUAUACUAUAUUUUAUGAAUAGAAGCUAUGGGGAAACACAUCACUUCAGUAAGAGAAAGAUGAUUAACAGUGCCACUAUCCAAGGAAGACGUUAAUACAUUUUAAGGCAUAAGAAUAUAAAUCUGUUAUAACAAGGUACUAAUUACGUGCAUGGAGGGGAACCUUUGUGACUGGAUCUCAUCUCUUCUGUGUGAAGUUGGAGGAGGAGGUGGAGGAAAGAGGCUGUUGCAUUUGUGCCAUCAUUCCCAUUGUCCUAGAUUUCUGCAGACUAAAUCUGCACACAUGGGGAAGGAAGCAUGCGGGGAGACAGUCACUCCACCUCAGAAGACCAUCAAUAUUUCACCAGAGAAGCAAUAUAGCUUGAAGCUGUGGACUUUCUCUGCAGUCAUGCUAUGUGUAGUGCAAGCUCCAAAGGAACCAGAGGUAAAAGAUGACAAUGUGGCUCCACUUGAGUUAUCUUUCCAGGAACAGCGGAAAAGCCACAAGGAAAUAUGGUGUUAAUUAAACACUACAUUGAUAAACACCAGGGAAGAACUUAUAUCAUCUUAUAACCAGCUCAUCAAUAACUACAGAAACUGUGACAUAGCCUCUAAAAUACAAGGCUGAAUCUUUUACUGAACCACUGUUGAAAACAAUGCUCUUAAUACCUUUUCCCAGCAGUACAAGGCCAAUUGUCAAGAUCUUAAAAGAAACCCAGCUGGAUCAGACUAAUGGUGCCUCCAGUCUAGGAUCUUGUUACAUGUGGCCAACUAUAUAUUUCUGGGAAACCCACCAGCUGAAAGUCAAAACUCCUUCUGUUAUGUGCUAGCACUGGUAUUCACAGGAUUACAGCCUCUGAAAAUGGAGAUUCCAUUUAGUCAUCAUAGCCAAUAGUCAUUGCUGGUCACAUUUUCCACAAAUUUUAAUGUUGCAUUUUUAAAGACAACAAAAUUAGUGACUACCACCAUAUCUUGUGGUGGAGAAGUCUACAAGUUAAUUACUCUUCAAGUGAAACAUUAAUGUUAAAGAUGCUAAAGUCUAUUUUGUGAACAGGCAUUAUUCCUGAAGAAUGGCUGACCACAUUUCAGUAAUGUCUGUAGCAGAACUUUUUAGCCAUCGGCACCAUUGCUAACGCUGCCUCCACUAAAUUAAGCUGAAUUAAGGAGAACCAGAUAACUGAGCAUCUUGCACUUGCUCUUUCAGUAUUGGCUUAAGUGGGAUCUAUAGAUUCUCUCUUUGUAAUAAACAAAGUUGUGCAAAAUAGCACAAAAUUCUGCCAUAUGCAAAAGAAUUCUCCAUUGCUGCUCUAAAAAGUGGUACUGAUAAUAGAGUCUCUGUUAACAUUCAUAAAUCAAGCAAAGAAACAUUUUAAUAGAAGCAGUAGUAUUACUUUGGCCAUUCAUUUACAAGUUUCCAUAACAAUUCCAAGAUAAGUUCUGACUUGUCAGUCAAUAUUUUCUAAGAAGACAGUGGUAACAACAAAAUCAGAAUGAUUCUUCAACCAACUAUAGAAAUAUUCAGAGCUCUUUAGAAGGCUACAUUGCAGACCAGAUGCUCUUUGUUGUGAGUAAGGGGAGAACCAGAGAAAUUAAAAAAAGUGUUUACCUUUCAACUGGGUAACAUGGUGGUGGCAAAAUAUUGCACAUUGAACAUGUUAUUGUGAACCACCGCCUGAGUUUCAUGGCUUUAACUACAAAUGGCAAGAAAUCCUGACAACUAUAUAGGUAGUGCUAGAUGGUAUUUACCUUGUGCUUAUGAAGCUCAUAUUGUGUAAACAUCAUCAUGAACUAUUCACUCAUUUGAUGUGUAAUGCACAGAGGAAAUUGACACAGUCUAAUCUCUGUUCAUUAAAUGAUCAAACACUC